UAUAAAGUGUUGUAAAAAGCAUAAUGCUUUUUGGUAGCAUAAGAGGUAGAUUACCCUUUAUAA
RNAcentral lists this transfer RNA (63 nucleotides) under Gyrodactylus sp. FY-2015. RNAcentral describes it as "tRNA-Gln". Lineage: Eukaryota; Metazoa; Platyhelminthes; Monogenea; Gyrodactylidea; Gyrodactylidae. The record is from RNAcentral.